CCUACGGGCGGCAGCAGUGAGGAAUAUUGGUCAAUGGUCGGGAGACUGAACCAGCCAAGCCGCGUGAGGGAUGAAGGUACAGAGUAUCGUAAACCUCUUUUGUCAGGGAACAAAGGCGGGGACGCGUGCCCGUAUGUGUGUACCUUAAGAAAAAGCAUCGGCUAACUCCGUGCCAGCAGCCGCGGUAAUACGGAGGAUGCGAGCGUUAUCCGGAUUUAUUGGGUUUAAAGGGAGCGUAGGCGGGUCGUUAAGUCAGCGGUCAAAGCUCGGGGCUCAACCCCAGAACUGCCGUUGAAACUGGCAGUCUCGAGUUGGAGAGAAGUAUGCGGAAUGCGCGGUGUAGCGGUGAAAUGCAUAGAUAUCGCGCAGAACUCCGAUUGCGAAGGCAGCAUGCUGGCUCCACACUGACGCUGAGGCACGAAAGCGUGGGUAUCGAACAGGAUUAGAUACCCGAGUAGUC
RNAcentral lists this ribosomal RNA (460 nucleotides) under uncultured bacterium. RNAcentral describes it as "partial 16S ribosomal RNA". It matches the Rfam family "Bacterial small subunit ribosomal RNA", at positions 338 to 795 of the family's 1533-position model. The record is from RNAcentral.